UUUUAGAGAGUGUGUGGUACACAGUUGUAGAUGGUGAAUGUGGAUUGUUUUCAUAGUUAUGUGUGAACUCGUGUACACGUGUGGUUACAACUGAGCUGAUGUUAUGUGUGGUUUAGCGUUUACUUGGUUUUGGUUGUGUAAAAAUGAUCACCGAAUUUUCAGUUUUUUGGAUCACUGUCCCUUUAAGGCUGCUUAGCGACCACCCGUAUUGCCUUAGCAACUACACGGCAGCAGAUUUGUGACUAUUAAAGUGGCUAACGCUCGCUCGAUGUUUGACUGCCGAAGCUGUAUCAAUUCAAAUGAAUGCAAACGUUACACUUGCCAUUCCUGAAUCCAUCAUUGUGACUGCUCACUCAGGCUUGCCCUGGCUAACCUUCCCAUAAUGCUCCUCUCUGAAGCCAGACUGGAGGCAGAUGUCCCUGUGUACACCUCAAACACUGCCGUGUCAUUACAUUACAAAAAGUCCACUGUCAGCUGCACACACAAUGCUCGUCUCGCUCAUUUAUCAAUUAAAUGAUGCUGCGGACAAAGGAACCGUGCCCAAUGUAGUUUAGUAGCCGCGCUAUAGCGUGCGUGCGUGCGUGUGUGUGUGUGUGUGUGUGUGUGUUAGCACUUGGGAUUUGUUGUUGAAAUGCAGCCGAGGCAAUAGGGAAGUCAAAAAGGAGUCUUAUUGAAUCAGUGGUACUAAAGAGGAGGAAAGGCCUUCACGGGAUCAGGGUUAACUUAAUUAGUGUGUGUGUGUGUGUCUGGGGUGCAAACAGGGAUAAUGGCAGCAUUUGAAUGAGUUCAUGCUUGGCCGGACUUCGCUUGACUUCUGAACAGUGUACGCUGCUAAUCUGUUCUCCAACAGUGUGUCUCUGAGGGUUAAACACAUCAUCCUGUACAAAAGCACAAUGACAUUUCCCCAAAACAAAACAUCUAAGUCACUUUUAUUCUGCUGUGGGGCGGGGCAUAAGAGUGAGUGACAGGUGGUGACUGCUGAAUAAAGACGGCUGGAGAGGGGCAGUGGGUCAUUGCUCAGUUUGUGGGUCAAAGACAUACAUUAAAGCUCUGGGUGAAUGUGAGGUUAAAGAGGUGGAGAUGAUACAGAGGGUGAUUGGCAGCGUGACAGAUGUCAGUCAGAGCUCAAAGGACCGCCCUCACACCUGCUGUACAGACAUGAGAGAAAAGAGAUGUUUGUUACAAGCUAAAAUGCCAAUUCAAACAAAGUAAAUGUGCCAUAUGCGCUGUAUACCGCAUGCAGUUUUAAAAUGUAAUGCAGUAUGCAAUGAUAAACGUUUCAAUCUGGA
Puntigrus tetrazona (Sumatra barb) is the source of this 1289-nucleotide long non-coding RNA. RefSeq lists it as uncharacterized. The record is from RefSeq and is a predicted model, not a curated record. The transcript has 2 exons. NCBI's taxonomy places the organism in Eukaryota, Metazoa, Chordata, Actinopteri, Cypriniformes, Cyprinidae.